Molecule: ribosomal RNA, 578 nt
Filed under: Salmonella enterica subsp. enterica serovar Typhimurium
Lineage: Bacteria; Pseudomonadati; Pseudomonadota; Gammaproteobacteria; Enterobacterales; Enterobacteriaceae
Description: bacterial LSU rRNA
Rfam family: Bacterial large subunit ribosomal RNA
Source: RNAcentral
GGGUUGUGAGGUUAAGCGACUAAGCGUACACGGUGGAUGCCCUGGCAGUCAGAGGCGAUGAAGGGCGUGCUAAUCUGCGAUAAGCGCCGGUAAGGUGAUAUGAACCGUUAUAACCGGCGAUACCCGAAUGGGGAAACCCAGUGUGAUUCGUCACACUAUCAUUAACUGAAUCCAUAGGUUAAUGAGGCGAACCGGGGGAACUGAAACAUCUAAGUACCCCGAGGAAAAGAAAUCAACCGAGAUUCCCCCAGUAGCGGCGAGCGAACGGGGAGGAGCCCAGAGCCUGAAUCAGCAUGUGUGUUAGUGGAAGCGUCUGGAAAGGUGCGCGAUACAGGGUGACAGCCCCGUACACAAAAGCGCAUGUGCUGUGAGCUCGAUGAGUAGGGCGGGACACGUGGUAUCCUGUCUGAAUAUGGGGGGACCAUCCUCCAAGGCUAAAUACUCCUGACUGACCGAUAGUGAACCAGUACCGUGAGGGAAAGGCGAAAAGAACCCCGGCGAGGGGAGUGAAAAAGAACCUGAAACCGUGUACGUACAAGCAGUGGGAGCACAGGUUUACCUGUGUGACUGCGUACCUU